UUGAAAGGGAAACGAUUGAAGUCAGUUGUACUAACGGGAAUCAAUCUUUUGAGGGUGGAUUUGUGGGAUUCAAAGUGCCUUUAUUUCUACAAUCUGCUUUAUGGGGUGCAUUUUCUCGUAAUGUAGGUCUGUGUCGGUUUUGAUCAUUAUAAAAUGACUGGAGGAAUGUAUUAUAGCAUUUGGUGGAUGUGACGGUUGGGAUUAAGGAUUGCAACGAAUACCCAUAUGGGCUAUCCGCCUUUAUAGUGUGCGAUCAAAAGGUUAGAAUGGAUUAAAUUCGUUAAGGAUGUUGACGUAAGUC
RNAcentral lists this ribosomal RNA (301 nucleotides) under uncultured Glomeromycotina. RNAcentral's name for it is "LSU rRNA". The record is from RNAcentral. Lineage: Eukaryota; Fungi; Glomeromycota.